AAAUAAGUAUUCAUUUUUACCCUGCAUCAGAAUUUUGGUUUUGACAGGUGUUGUAUUAUGUCUCAGAUUGUCAACUGAUCUGAGCAGUUCCCUCUUCACCUCCUGUUGUCAUCAACAUUAUUUUGUCAAUUUAUUUCUGCAUAGCUCUCCAUUAUAAAAAUGUAAUGCACUGUAGAAAAAAACGUUGGGUUCCUUUAUAUGAUAAUAAUAAUAAUAAUAAUAAUAAUAAUGUAAUAUUAAGAGUAUUCAGCAAUGUGUGCUGGGUAAAGGAUAAUGAAAGUUAAUUGCCAAAUAGAUUUUGCUGCCAAUUUAACUUUGCAGCAAAUCUAUUAAAAGACCUGCUCAGAUGAAAUAACAACAAAUUAGCUUGAAUACCGAAUGCUUUAAGUUACCAGUUUCAUAAGAUGUUCAUUUCAUAAAAAACAACGUGGGUUCACUUCACCAGAAAUAGUAAGGCUUGUUCACUAAACUGCAAAUGCUGAUUAAUUAAAAAAUGUGAUGGAAAAUGUAGUCUAAUAUUGCCAAGCUAUAACUAAGUUGGAGAAGGAUUCCAAAUCAGCUACUUUGAGGAAACUAACCGAUUACAGUAAUAUAGUAUGGUAUGGUCUUCUUGACCCCCAUUGGCUUUUUAUUUAUUUGUUUAUUAAGUAUGUAAUGUGGCAGCUGGCUAGCAAGCUCUGUCCAGUCACCACAUAAUUAACUCUUGUGUUGCCAAAGGUUUUUUAUCUAUUGCCUGCUGGCUGCUAGUGCUGCAAAUAGUUUUUCUUUAUUAAAAUCCAGGCCUGGAUUUGAAGCAUUCUAUCAGUCUUUCAGCGGUAGGUUGGUGUUCAGUCUGGCUAAAAUCUAGACAAAAUUCAGGAUCUUUUGGGGCCUGAAACACCAAAUCUGGGCAUUGUUGAAUAUUAUAAAUGUCUGGAUUUCGAAGUAGAGAGUGGUUUUGCCCUGUUUUGUAAGAACUUUACUACUAUCCACUGCAUGUUGGAUGGACAUCAGUGAGUAGUAAAAUGAAAACUCCUUAAAUAACUAAUUUAAAUUAACAGAAAGAAAAAAAUGGGUCAAAUAUGAUGCACCUAAUUUUUGCAAGCUUGCUGUAAACUUACAAGUAGCAGCCUAUGAAAUAAGGUCAAAUAUAUUUGUACUAUUUUCAUGACUGUAUACAAUACACAAUAUAAUUUAUGAAAUAUGUUGUAUCAUUUCAACAUUCUAUAAAUCUGUCAAAAUCAGCAGAUACAUAAAGAAGUUAUGGGAUUAAUAGUAGAAUCCUGAUGACAGAAUGAAACAGUGAAAAAAACAAUGGAAAAAAAAACCUAUAAAUUUCACUUCAAGUAACCAAACUUUUUUGUGAACAAACCCCAGGAGAAUUUUUGGUCUUGUAAUAUGUAUUUUUAGUUUAUUUUUUCAUUUUUUU
Non-coding RNA from Pelobates cultripes (western spadefoot toad), 1408 nucleotides. The record is from the annotation of a GenBank genome assembly. NCBI's taxonomy places the organism in Eukaryota, Metazoa, Chordata, Amphibia, Anura, Pelobatidae.